RNAcentral lists this ribosomal RNA (493 nucleotides) under uncultured bacterium. RNAcentral's name for it is "partial 16S ribosomal RNA". It matches the Rfam family "Bacterial small subunit ribosomal RNA", at positions 27 to 507 of the family's 1533-position model. The record is from RNAcentral.
GGAUGAACGCUAGCUACAGGCUUAACACAUGCAAGUCGAGGGGAAACGACAUCGAAAGCUUGCUUUUGAUGGGCGUCGACCGGCGCACGGGUGAGUAACGCGUAUCCAACCUGCCCAUCACUUGGGAAUAACCUUGCGAAAGUAAGACUAAUACCCAAUGACAUCCCACGAAGACAUCUGAAUGGGAUUAAAGAUUUAUCGGUGAUGGAUGGGGAUGCGUCUGAUUAGCUUGUUGGCGGGGUAACGGCCCACCAAGGCAACGAUCAGUAGGGGUUCUGAGAGGAAGGUCACCCACAUUGGAACUGAGACACGGUCCAAACUCCUACGGGGGGCAGCAGUGAGGAAUAUUGGGCAAUGGGCGAGAGCCUGAACCAGCCAAGUAGCGUGCAGGAUGACGGCCCUAUGGGUUGUAAACUGCUUUUAUAAGGGAAUAAAGUGGGUCUCGUGAGACUUUUUGCAUGUACCUUAUGAAUAAGAACCGGCUAAUUCCGUG